Molecule: small nucleolar RNA, 136 nt
Organism: Panicum virgatum (switchgrass)
Lineage: Eukaryota; Viridiplantae; Streptophyta; Magnoliopsida; Poales; Poaceae
Product: small nucleolar RNA Z247
Exons: 1
Source: RefSeq, a predicted model, not a curated record
AAGAUUGAUGAUGAUGAUCUCAUUAGCUAUAUCCUGAAUGGACUAGACUCGGAUUACAAUCCAUUCAUAUCAUCAGUUUCAGUCAAGGACUCAUUGUCCUUAGGAGAUCUCUAUGCUCAGCUCCUCUCUUAUGAAG